RNAcentral lists this ribosomal RNA (405 nucleotides) under uncultured bacterium. Its description in RNAcentral is "partial 16S ribosomal RNA". It matches the Rfam family "Bacterial small subunit ribosomal RNA", at positions 30 to 526 of the family's 1533-position model. The record is from RNAcentral.
AUUGAACGCUGGCGGCAGGCCUAACACAUGCAAGUCGAACGAGUGGCGGACGGGUGAGUAAUGUCUGGGAAACUGCCCGAUGGAGGGGGAUAACUACUGGAAACGGUAGCUAAUACCGCAUACCAUCGGAUGUGCCCAGAUGGGAUUAGCUAGUAGGUGGGGUAACGGCUCACCUAGGCGACGAUCCCUAGCUGGUCUGAGAGGAUGACCGGCCACCCUGGAACGGAGAAACGUUCCAGACCCCUCCGGUAGGCAGCAGGGGGGAAUAUUGCACAAUGGGGGAAAGCCUGAUGCAGCCAUGCCGGGUGUAUGAAGAAGGCCUUCGGGUUGUAAAGUACUUUCAGCGGGGAGGCGUUACCCGCAGAAGAAGCACCGGCUAACUCCGUGCCAGCAGCCGCGUAAUAC